Molecule: long non-coding RNA, 691 nt
Organism: Strongylocentrotus purpuratus (purple sea urchin)
Lineage: Eukaryota; Metazoa; Echinodermata; Echinoidea; Camarodonta; Strongylocentrotidae
Exons: 3
Source: RefSeq, a predicted model, not a curated record
ACAAAUUAAGGGUUUAUUAAGAGUUUGAAAGAACCCGUACAAUAUCCAUGUGAUCAGUUUUGUGCUGUCUCAUUUCGAGACACAUACAAAACAGCUCAGUAGAGAAAUAUUACUUUAUCAGAUAAAAACCAAUAGGUUAAUAGAAAGUAUUAACAUGAUAUAACAUAAUCCUAAAUAAUUGCAAUAGAUCAACUAAGUGCAAUAUCGCUUCCAUAUUACAUAGCCUAUAUAAAUCAUGUUCCAAAUAUAAUAUGCUAUUAAAAAGUUAGCACAUUUCAAAUGACGGACAAGGCUAUGAUGUCUUGAAUGGUCUAUGGGAUCGUUGUUUAUGAUUACGUGAAAAUAACUUUCCUUGGUUUAACUUCUAUUUCGUCGUUUACUUAACUCUUCCAGCUUUAGAUCCAUGUGCCAGUAGCCCAUGUCAAAACGGGGGAACUUGUAAUUCUCCGGGACCAAGUCUUCCCUUCACCUGUAACUGCCCAGUCGGGUACACAGGCCAGCUGUGUCAAUCAGCUUUAGAUCCAUGUGCCAGUAGCCCAUGUCAAAACGGGGGAACUUGUAAUUCUCCGGGACCAAGUCUUCCCUUCACCUGUAACUGCCCAGUCGGGUACACAGGCCAGCUGUGUCAAUCAGCUUUAGAUCCAUGUGCCAGUAGCCCAUGUCAGAACGGGGGAACCUGUAAUUCUCCGGG